RNAcentral lists this small nucleolar RNA (136 nucleotides) under Bombyx mori (domestic silkworm). Its description in RNAcentral is "Bm_84". The record is from RNAcentral. Lineage: Eukaryota; Metazoa; Arthropoda; Insecta; Lepidoptera; Bombycidae.
AACGCACAACUACCGCGGAUCACCAAUAGCUCUUGUUGGUUGUCAUUUGAUAUGUUGUGCCAUAGUAAAUUAAAAACAAUGCAUUAAUGAUGUUUUUUCACAUGAGAGAUAUUGCUGGUGUUGUUUUUUACAUUUU